This 21-nucleotide non-coding RNA is filed under the name Caenorhabditis elegans. Lineage: Eukaryota; Metazoa; Nematoda; Chromadorea; Rhabditida; Rhabditidae. The record is from RNAcentral.
UAUACCGGAUAUUUUCUACGA